Lethenteron reissneri (Far Eastern brook lamprey) is the source of this 453-nucleotide long non-coding RNA. RefSeq lists it as uncharacterized. The record is from RefSeq and is a predicted model, not a curated record. Lineage: Eukaryota; Metazoa; Chordata; Hyperoartia; Petromyzontiformes; Petromyzontidae.
CGUGCACAGUUGGUGGUCUACAGUUGGCACUUCGGGUGCGCCAUGAAGUCCUCACGGCUCCUGCUGCUGCUGCUGAUCAUGGAGCUCUUCACGGCGACGGCGGCGGAACGCGCCCAUACCAGCCUGCACGGAAACUGGCUGCUCCUGAACAUGAGGGCACGCAGGGACAGCGGCCCUACCUGACCGACAACUUCGGAGCGAAACCUCUGCAGCUGACCCCGCGGCGCCCGAGUGGAACCGAUGACGGCCGACAGCCUCGCCUCGCUCCGCCACCGCCGCCGCAGUGACUCCGUUUAUUCACGUGGCUGCAGCAAACGCGGCCGCAGCAAACGCGGACGCUUACACUCAAGACGCGUUCAAUAGCGCCUCCGGCACCUCGCAAUCGUCACACGACUCACAAAUAAUAAUACUACGACGAAUAAUAAUAAAGUCAAAAAAUACCCGGGAAUGAUA